Molecule: non-coding RNA, 8304 nt
Organism: Coturnix japonica (Japanese quail)
Lineage: Eukaryota; Metazoa; Chordata; Aves; Galliformes; Phasianidae
Source: RefSeq, a predicted model, not a curated record
AACCAAUGAUCUGUCACACGGCACAUAACAAGUUACACACGCCCUUUCUACAUAAAGCAUCCUUUAGAAUGAAAAAGAAAUAAUCAUAAUGUAACAGAACUGAUCUGCAUUAAAUGUAGGUUAUUAGCGGUUACAGGUGAGCACAAAACCCGUGUCAUGAAGUAAAUACAGAUUUCCAUCUGUGCUACAGCUUUAUGAAGUGCUCAGUAAGAAGACAGCGCUGUUGAAAAUAGAGCUUCAAAAUUUACACCAGUAAUUUUAAGGCAGAGAAAUAGAAAACCAGCUGCAGAAACUGGCAGUGAUGUGCACAUGUCCUGCAUGGAACCUGCUUCCUGAAUUUGAGAUGAGCACAGGUAACGUUUUUACAUAUGAAGCUCACACAGCUUUCAUUUGUAAUACCCAACGUAACUGCCCGAUCUUCCUUCUGAUCCACUUUGACAUGCAAGACUUGUGAUUCCCUAUCUCAGGAGUUACUGAGUGAAAUCCAUUGACCUGUAUUUUAACAGUGGAUUUUGCUUUGCUGGAAAGUGAAUUCAGCAUUUCUCUGAAGUACAGGUGGGAAAUCCCAGGCGAUCCGACUGAGCCCUUGGACAGUCUGACAACAGGACGUUCCCAUCCUCCCUUCCAACCCGCUAGCAGGGAAUGGGCUGCUGAAAUGAAUGUGGGAGAUGUGGCACCAAGCCCAGAAAAGCAAGCUGAGGAAGCAAAAUGCACAGUCAGCAAGGCAGGAUCUUGUCUCUCCCUCCUCCCAUCCUCCAGAUUUCCAGUGACUGGGAUCAGCCCAUGAAGACGAUCUGAGGGCUCCUCCUUCAACCCACCCUAACCACGCUGCUCGUUCUCUAACUCGUCAACCAACUGCAACUGACAAACAUCAAUCUUAAGCACUGUGUAAAUUUAAGACUAAAUGUUUAUGAUUACUUACACGACUGAAAUUGGCCAUAAGACAGAGACAGAUGCUGGGCAGUUUGCAUUACUGAGAAAAGCCCUCACAAACAAAUACAGCAAAGAAGCCACCCAGUGCAGUGGAACACGGCACGCUCUUACUUUCCUGCCUCUGCUUUCUACAGAGAGCCUGAAGAGAAGAUCAAUACCUGCCCAGCUCCAACCAUAUUAUUAGCAAUACACGCAUUCCUUUCCACUGACACACAUAAAAACUACUGCUGGCCUAGUUCACAUGGAGUUCAUGCUCACAGCACAUCCAGUCUUUAUUUUUACCCCGAGAUUCACUCUCGCUGGCUCAGCUGGCCUCAGGGUAAAGAAGUGAAGUGCACCACACCAAGGGCUGCACUGCAUCCAUAUGCUGAGUACUGUGAAAGAAAACACAGACCCCUCUUUGCUCCAGAGCUUCACAGUUUCUGUCAGGCUGCACUUCACACACAACAGCCCUCUGGUCCUCCACUUCUGACUCCCUCCUAAUGGCUUUUCCUAUUAUGCAGACUAUGAGGUAAAUAACCCUCACCCCAAAAAGAUGAGAUGCACGCCUGGCUACUGCUGUUGUGAAAUGGUUGGUGGCAGAGGAGUGGACAGCAAUUAAAUACUUGUUUCAAAUUAUCAUUACAGAACCAAAAUAUUGUAUCGCUAGGUUUUAGGCAACCUUCUGGACCAGCCUCUGGGAAAUUUGAGGCAACCAGUCACCUUCAGCAGAAGCAGACCACGUGCUUCACAUGCUUAAUUUAUUGCUGGUGGGUUUGGAGGGGUUCUGGUCCGGGGUGUUUUUGUUUGGUUGGUUGUUUUUUUCCCCAGACAGUCUCCUUUAUCAGAGAAAGGUUUAUAAUCACCUGUCACCCUCAGCUGACAAUGCACUCACUCUUCAUUUUCACCCUGUAUUUACAUACUGGCCAUUAUCUCUCAGGUAAGGUAACAAAAGAGGCUCUCUCCAGUUUUCUCACCCCAGCAAUGGGAGAAUAUACCAGCACUCACUGAUCAGCAGGAAUAUUCCCUGGAUGCAGAAUAAAGGCAUUCUUGGAAAUAUAAGUCUUUCUGCUUAGGUCUUUUAGAGAAGAUUGCCACCAGAGAUUUGAGCUGUCUGACUGCCACGCCGAAGUACUGCAUUCACAGCCUCAGUUCCACAUUGUACCACCGUUACUUGACAUGUAGCUGUUCUAAUUGUUUAUGGGAAAGGAACUGGUGAGGAGGGGGAAGGCCCCGCACAGGGCAGCGCUGACCGACUGUUAUCAGCGAGAGAAGGCACAGUUGCCAUGGUACCAAAAUGGAGGUGUAAUGCGGUAAUCUAAAUGAAGGCUGCACUUACCAGAUGGGGACAUGUACUCAGCAUUGGCCCUGCAAACCACCCGAACCGGCAGAUUGCACAUUUGCAAGAAGGCCUGGAAACAAAGAAUGGAAAGAGCACUGAUACACCAGUGACUAACAACUGCAUUCUCCCCAAUACAUUUGACUGAAUCUUAGCAAAUCAUUAGCAGUACCUACCAAGAACAGGUCCUUGCAUAAUGCUUUUAAGAAAAAAGGAAAACCAAGGGUUUUCUAACUUCUUCAGACAAUUGUUUACCUCCAGCCAAUGGCUGGAAUUCCUCUAAUUAAGAUUCUCCGCCACACACACUCUUAAAUGAUGCAAAGAAGCGGUGCUGUAGCUGCAAGAAAUGAAGUGACAUUCUGCUCCUCCUGAAAAUCACAGUACGUACUUCUUGGGGCUGAAGCUGGCUAACCAGGCUUACAUUGUGUAACACAGCAAACACACAAAGCACCUUCCCACAAUGAAACAGUCAUCAGAAAUGCUGCUUUACAGUACACCAUGAGCACGUCUGCUUUAUUCAUUUCCUCUAAUUUAUGUGAACUGUAGUGACUGCAAGUGAUCCAUUUACUGUCUCCAUCUCCAACCCUGGAUUCGAACACUCUCACUGGGACACCCGUUGUUGUCAGCAGCUGCCAUUGCUACAAAAGCCCUAACAUGUUUCUGUUUAAUAUAAUAGCAAAAUAUUGAGAAAUGUAAUUUGGAUGUAUCAUGGAAAUAAGGAAUCUUAAUCUCCAGAGUCUCUCACAGCUCAGCUGAAGACCUAUCAUUCAUUUUAUCUUUGCCAUUAGAAAGUUCAGAACUCCAGAUUCCAACGUCACACCUUUUUAUCCACUGUGGCUGGAAGCUGAAGCCAAGGAGGCCACUAACCAUGAAGAAAAAUGCUGCUGUAAGUUGAAGGACAUGCUCCGCAUUCACUGUAGGCAAGCAGACCAAAGCCAAAAUGCUAAGAUCUUCAAGGAUGGCAAACAGUGCAGCAUAGUUCUAAAUCUUGUUUUGGAAACAGCUGUCCCAGCCUGAACAACAUGUACUCCAUUUGCACUUCAGUCUCAUUUGGGAGAGGUGGUAGAAAACCAAAGGAAACAAGGUACACAGCAUCCAGCAGAGCCCUGUCACUGGUUCCCAGAACCUGAUCUAACCAUAACUAUAUUUAGGAAAUCAGUGCCCAUGGCAGAAGGGCACCUCUGCACUACAUAACACUGCAGGGUGCUAACAAAUAUCAGCAUCAGCCCUGGUCCUAACGUUGUGACUCCUGCAGUACCCAUCAAGCAAACAAACCACUCCUCUCCUCCUCUGGUGCUUCCCAAACCCUACCCCAAUCACUGAUGAUAACAGUACCCAGGGGACAAAAGCCAAAAGCUUUGGUACCUUCCAAUGCCUCUUCCAACCAACUCAAGAACCCCACAGCUCAUUACAUCAUUUGGCUCUCACUAUUUCAGAUGACCUAAGUGAAUCCCAAACCCCAAAUUAAAGCAGGGAGCCAUGGUCACGAGCUGCUAAAGACACUGAUUACAGCUGACAGGAGCAUGGGCCUCUGAACCCGAGAGGCUCUGCAAAACCCACCAGUAACCCGAGUUUCUGCACAUUUUGAUUUCUUCAGCCUAACCCCAACUGAAAGAACUGCUCGGGAGCCAAUUACUACACACCCAUGAGCAGAUGCACCUCUGCCAAAUGCUGAGAACUUUGCCCUAGUCUAGAAUAAACUGGUCGUUAGAUUGCCAAACCUCAUCCCAACCAGCACCCCUAUAUCUGCUUAUAGCAGCAACCCUUACCCACAGGGAACACAAAGCACUGGCCACAUGUGACAGCAUCACACUUUCUAAGUGCACAACCACCACAAAUCAAGGCUUUUGUAGUCUCCGCUUCCCAAACUGCAUGCAAACAGUAAGAACACCCAAAGGAAUCGUUCUCAAACAGGAACAUAAGGCACCGUCUCAGUGCUGUAUCUCUUCCUAUUGGCUCUGCAGGCUCCAGCGAUGGUGCAGACUGUUCCAGCUGUUGCCAUAUGCAUCGUGUCCUCUGCCCAAACUGGGGCACUGAGUUCACUGAAAUUCUGCGUUAAGCUUGAGAUGAAUUUUAAGGCCGCCAUGUACUGUUCUCACUGCUGGUUCAGACGAGAAUGUCUGAACUGUGCUGGAACACAUGAAUAACUAAAGAGCUCCUGAACAGAAAGACAGUGUCAAGCAAAAGGAAGUGAAUCAGGACUAUUUUUACAUUUCCACAUCAGCACCUCAAAAAUGAGAUAUGCCAGCACAGAACAGCCAGGUGACACGAGUUGCUUUGGCAAAUGCUUGUCUACUGUACAUUGGCUUCUCCACAGUACAAGGUUUGUACCAAAAACACGGCUUGUGUCUGUGAAAAGCAUUCCUCAGUAUCGAGGUUAAGUUAUGAACAAAAUCUUUUUGGUGUAAAGAGUUCAGCCAAGAUUCCUGCAGAAAUCUGAACAGUACUUUCCUCCCUCCUCCUCCACAAUAAACAUCCACUGACCAAGGAACAUCGACCUCUCUAACAGUUGGCAGGGAAGUUCUGUCUUGGUCUCUGGCCUGGCUGGAAGUGAGGCGUUAUCUUGUUUAACAUUUUAGCCCAGCGAUCAAGGGAGGACUUGUUCCCUUUUUGACCACUCAUGUAGAAUGUUUUGUAGCAGCACAUUUGGUGUGCAGAUAGCAUCAAACCACGAGGUUUCCAGUCCUGGCAAUAGAUGCAGUGGAACGCAGCUCAGAACAGCACCUUCUCCCUCUGUACUUGGCACACAUGAUCAGAACAAGCCCCCGGCACAGCAGUGCUCUGAGUGCUCCGGGAGCAAAGGGUGAGAGGGAAGGCUGCAGCCACCCCAGGGUGGUUCUGCUGAGAUUUAUGAAGAUAUCAACACCCCUUCAAAGACACAGCAUCAAAAGCUGAACGACCCGAAAGAUCAAGGGCAAAGACUUAUUCCAGGACAUCAGAGAUCACUGUCAACAUCAUAAAUUUGGCUGAUCAACUUUAAAAGAGGCUGAAAGGGGCCAACUGAAUUCCAAGUAACACACAAGCUAGUUAAUCAAACCCUUCUAAAAGCUCACCUAAGAACUGGUGAGAGAGGCAGGAACAGCAGAACUAGAAACCUGACACCAGCGGAGCACCAGCCGAACUGUCAGCCCCCAAAGAUGCUUUUAAUUCUAAAGAAAAGCACUGAAUUCCCCUCUCUCUUAUUGUCCUCUGUGAAAAAUUACUACAGCAGUACGAACAGAGUGCACCCACAGCAUGAAUCUCUUUCAGCACUUAGGAUUCUCACACAGGAACCUUAGAGUAGUUGCUUAACACCUAUCCAAAAGAGUUAAUUACUAGGAUCGAUUAGAAGAGAUGAGGGAUUGAUAUCCCUAUUUUCCUUUGUCCAUGCUGCAGAAGAUCAGAGAUGGCUGCCCAACAGGCUUUAUACAAACAAAGGAAACUUAACUCAAGCAUAAAUACACUGAAGUAGCUACAGCUGAAGGAAAUCAAACCAAAGUACUCAUUUAUUUUAGAAGCCCAAGCAAUUUCAUGGCUCAUACUAGUUAACACCGCUUUUAUGAGUGUAAUAAAAUCUCAGGUUGGGAAGAACUGAGUUUAUUCCCCUGGUAUCAACAAGACCUCCUCUUUUAUCCGUGCAUAUCACUCGUUAUGUGCAUUUCUGUAAACUUAAAAGCAAGGGCCUGACUUUCUUGAUCAGUAUUGGCACUUGCCAACGACCAAAGCAGAAACCAGGAAGAUAACCCAGAUUAGUAACUUGUGGUCAUUAUAACAUCCUCUACAAAAGCCCUCUAGUUAUUUCUGGACCAAAAUGUGUCUGUCCUUUGGAUAAGGUUAAUGUGACAAACAGAUAAAAAUAUUGAAAAUAAAGGUUUGGUUUAGUGGAGUCUGCCAUCAUCUCUCCCACACAUGCUCCUCUUCCCUGCAGGCUAACCAAACCCUGUUCUCAUGCUUUUCCAGUCUCUAUCUCACCUUCUCUUCUGGCAUCUGGGAAAGAAUGGGAGAAAUACAAACAAUAUCUUUGUAGCAAUGCUACCUCUCUUCUUCCAGACAGAAAGUACAGAGUCUACAAAGCUUCUACUGCCUCUGUGUACCUUGGUACAUUUCCACGUGUCUUGAGCACCUCCAGGUACAGUGACUCCACCAUCUCCCUGGGCGGCCCAUUUCAGUGCUUGUCACUCUAUAAGUGAAGACAUUCUUCCUCAUACCCAACCUGAACCUCCCCCGGUACAACUUCAAGCCAUUGCCUUUUGUCCUACCACUACUUACACAGGAGAAGAAUCCAGCCCCUACCUUACCAUAAUGUUCUUUCAAGUAGUUGUAGAGAGCAAUACUUUCUUAUAGUGAGAGGCCCAAAACUGAACACACUACUCAAGAUGCAGCAUCACUAGAGGAUACAGUACAUUUUAUAUUGUACAGGGAGACAAUCACCUCCCUCCAAAAUAUUUGGUAAGAAGCUUUGAGGUGACACCUGUCAGUAAAUAAAUUAACAAUGCUAUGCAUGUCAUUCGUUACAAUCAUGGCAGGGACACCUCCUGACAAAAUUACCAAGUACAUUAACAACAACAGUGUAGCUUACAGGACACAAUGAACUGAAGGCUUGCUUUGUUUUCUUAUACUUAACCCAAUUGCAAAUUAAGGACGUAAAUAGUAUGUUGGAUUUCACUUACUGAAAAAAACAAUCAGUGCUACUUUGCCAAGGCCUGGAAGCACAGAGCUCAGAAACCUUGGCCCUCCCCUCCUGUGACAGAAAUGACAUUUCCAGCUCUGCUGCUGCUGCCCUCCAAACAAUGUACGAAAGUGAUGCCAUCUUGUCUUCCUAUGAUGACAAGAACAGAAAAUGACUGCACAUGAAGUACAAGUGGGAAAGAGUAAGAGAAGAGAGGGGGGAGUUCUGUAUUUUUUCCCUUGGUUAAUUGGUUUAUGUAGCAGUUUUGCCUUCACUCUCCCUUCCUCUUUGCCCUCCCUGAAGACUGGACUGUUUGGACACUGCCAAUUGGAAGCAUAACGCCCACCAAGCAGCAAAUCACCCCAUCAGAGCUCCAUCACAUUGUCUCUUCUUCCCCUCCAGUCCCCUCUCAGAAUAAUACACAAGAGCAAACACACACAUUCAUUAAAAAUGAGUUAUAACUUGAUGUAAAUUAUAUCCAGAUUGCAGUUUCCAAGAUCAGAGGAAAGAAUGAAAUUGCUUAUGCCAAGUCCCAAAUAGUUCACAACUUAUAUCCCCCCAUGAGGAGCACUGUUUUCAGAUGGCACACACUCCAGGCUUCAUUCGGAGAAGACAUACUCAUGAUUAGUUUUUUAAUAAAGAACGAUCCAUUGCAGGCAUCUCUUAUUCAGCAGCACUGCUAAAUGCGUCCGCAUAAUACGGCUGUGAAGGAAGAGCAAAAGGCAUUUGUUUUCAUUCUUACACUAUUACAUGAGCAGACAAAGGAGGACAAUAUGCGACGACAACUAAAGAGUUAUUCUCUGCUUUAUUGCAGGAACGCAUUUUAAAAUUAAAAACCAUGAACAAAUCCACAGUAUAAUUCAGUUUUCAUAUCAAACAGCUGCAGACCCUGUAACCGAAAUAGUAUGUCUAAGGUUAUAAAUGAAAACUGCUCAGUAUCAUUCUUUGAGUGACAGAUUAAAUUCCUAAUCCGGUUAUGGUAAUGGCCACAUUUGUAGUUUAACAUAAAUUAAGAGCUUAAUUAUAUUUGCGACUAUUUUAAACAAAAUAACAAAUUCCUUUGUACCUGUGAACAUAAUUUAUAGCAAAGCCACCUUCAUUCUCCAAAACAAUCUAUUUUACACUGCAGCACAGCACUGCUCUAAUGGUAUAAUGUAAUUCUUGUUGUAGAAUGUGGAAGGAGUAGACUCAGUGGUAGCACAGAGGUUUUGAAGAUAAAUGAAGAUGCUAUUCAUUCAGGGGUAAUUUCAUCUCAGAACUAUAUGAAAGAUGUUUCACUCCCAAACAGUACCUCUACGGCUUGGGAUUUAAGCAUGUUUUCAGCUACAACAUAAUGCUGCCAGAUUGAUUAUGUUGAUUCUGCAUUUCUCAUCGUGAAGAAUUUCCAGUUUUUGUUCUCUUAAAA